AGGUGAACCUGCGGAGGGAUCAUUACCGAGUUUACAACUCCCAAACCCCUGUGAACAUACCAAUUGUUGCCUCGGCGGAUCAGCCCGCUCCCGGUAAAACGGGACGGCCCGCCAGAGGACCCCUAAACUCUGUUUCUAUAUGUAACUUCUGAGUAAAACCAUAAAUAAAUCAAAACUUUCAACAACGGAUCUCUUGGUUCUGGCAUCGAUGAAGAACGCAGCAAAAUGCGAUAAGUAAUGUGAAUUGCAGAAUUCAGUGAAUCAUCGAAUCUUUGAACGCACAUUGCGCCCGCCAGUAUUCUGGCGGGCAUGCCUGUUCGAGCGUCAUUUCAACCCUCAAGCCCCCGGGUUUGGUGUUGGGGAUCGGCGAGCCCUUGCGGCAAGCCGGCCCCGAAAUCUAGUGGCGGUCUCGCUGCAGCUUCCAUUGCGUAGUAGUAAAACCCUCGCAACUGGUACGCGGCGCGGCCAAGCCGUUAAACCCCCAACUUCUGAAUGUUGACCUCGGAUCAGGUAGGAAUACCCGCUGAACUUAAGCAUAUCAAUAAGCGGAGGAA
This 554-nucleotide ribosomal RNA is filed under the name Fusarium proliferatum. Its description in RNAcentral is "eukaryotic LSU rRNA". The stretch from base 174 to 327 matches the Rfam family "5.8S ribosomal RNA". Lineage: Eukaryota; Fungi; Ascomycota; Sordariomycetes; Hypocreales; Nectriaceae. The record is from RNAcentral.